Molecule: small nucleolar RNA, 210 nt
Filed under: Sciurus vulgaris (Eurasian red squirrel)
Lineage: Eukaryota; Metazoa; Chordata; Mammalia; Rodentia; Sciuridae
Description: Small nucleolar RNA U3 (ENSSVLG00005022184.1)
Rfam family: Small nucleolar RNA U3
About the family: Small nucleolar RNAs (snoRNAs) are involved in the processing and modification of rRNA in the nucleolus. There are two main classes of snoRNAs: the box C/D class, and the box H/ACA class.
Source: Rfam by way of RNAcentral
AAGACUAUACUUUCCGGGACUAUUUCUAUAGUGUGUUACUAGAGAAGUUUCUUUGAAGGAGUAGAGUACUGGAAAUGAUAAGAAAGAGGUGAAGUGUUCUUUCCUGAGUGUGCUCUUGAUGUUGCUUUGCUCCAGCUGCUAUUUGCCAUUGAUGGUCAUUGUUCUCCCCGCUUUGGGGAAGUAACAGGAAGAAGAUGCCAUGUGAGUCAC